RNAcentral lists this unclassified non-coding RNA (225 nucleotides) under Borreliella garinii. RNAcentral's name for it is "partial 5S-23S ribosomal RNA intergenic spacer". The record is from RNAcentral. Lineage: Bacteria; Pseudomonadati; Spirochaetota; Spirochaetia; Spirochaetales; Borreliaceae.
GAGAGUAAGUUAUUGCCAGGGUUUUUAUUUUAUACUUUAAACAUUGAUUUUUUUUUUUAUGUUUGGAGAUGUUCAUGUUUCUGAAUGUUUUAUUCGAAUAAUAUAAAAAAUAAAAUAUAUAUUGACAUGGAUUAAACAAAGAUAUCUAUUAUUCUAUGUUGUAUAAACAAAUUGGCAAAAUAGAGAUGGAAGAUAAAAAUAUGGUCAAAGUAAUAAGAGUCUAUG